Molecule: ribosomal RNA, 768 nt
Filed under: uncultured bacterium
Lineage: Bacteria
Description: bacterial SSU rRNA
Rfam family: Bacterial small subunit ribosomal RNA
Source: RNAcentral
AGAGUUUGAUCAUGGCUCAGAACGAACGCUGGCGGCAUGCCUAACACAUGCAAGUCGAACGCUUUUGGGGUUUCGGCCUCAAGGGAGUGGCGCACGGGUGAGUAGCGCGUGGGAACCUGCCCUGUUGUGGGGGAUAACCGAGGGAAACUUCGGCUAAUACCGCAUGCGCCGGUUGUCUUGAGAGAGAUGGCCGGGAAAGAUUUAUCGCAGCAGGAGGGGCCCGCGUCGGAUUAGCUAGUUGGUGGGGUAACGGCCUACCAAGGCGUCGAUCCGUAGCUGGUCUGAGAGGAUGAUCAGCCACACUGGGACUGAGACACGGCCCAGACUCCUACGGGAGGCAGCAGUGGGGAAUAUUGGACAAUGGGCGCAAGCCUGAUCCAGCAAUGCCGCGUGAGUGAUGAAGGCCUUAGGGUUGUAAAGCUCUUUCGCCCGCGACGAUGAUGACGGUAGCGGGAGAAGAAGCCCCGGCUAACUUCGUGCCAGCAGCCGCGGUAAUACGAAGGGGGCGAGCGUUGUUCGGAUUUACUGGGCGUAAAGGGCGCGUAGGCGGCGGACCAAGUCGAGUGUGAAAGCCCCGGGCUCAACCUGGGAGGUGCGCUCGAGACUGGUUGGCUGGAGUUCGGGAGAGGAGCGUGGAAUUCCCAGUGUAGAGGUGAAAUUCGUAGAUAUUGGGAAGAACACCGGUGGCGAAGGCGGCGCUCUGGACCGAGACUGACGCUGAGGCGCGAAGGCGUGGGGAGCAAACAGGAUUAGAUACCCUAGUAGUCC